RNAcentral lists this ribosomal RNA (447 nucleotides) under Bacillus sp. '8.3 MW-8'. RNAcentral's name for it is "bacterial SSU rRNA". It matches the Rfam family "Bacterial small subunit ribosomal RNA", at positions 1 to 444 of the family's 1533-position model. Lineage: Bacteria; Bacillati; Bacillota; Bacilli; Caryophanales; Bacillaceae. The record is from RNAcentral.
UGAGAUUUAUCCUGGCUCAGAUAACGCGGCGGCGUGCCUAAUACAUGCAAGUCGAGCGAAUGGAUUAAGAGCUUGCUCUUAUGAAGUUAGCGGCGGACGGGUGAGUAACACGUGGGUAACCUGCCCAUAAGACUGGGAUAACUCCGGGAAACCGGGGCUAAUACCGGAUAACAUUUUGAACUGCAUGGUUCGAAAUUGAAAGGCGGCUUCGGCUGUCACUUAUGGAUGGACCCGCGUCGCAUUAGCUAGUUGGUGAGGUAACGGCUCACCAAGGCAACGAUGCGUAGCCGACCUGAGAGGGUGAUCGGCCACACUGGGACUGAGACACGGCCCAGACUCCUACGGGAGGCAGCAGUAGGGAAUCUUCCGCAAUGGACGAAAGUCUGACGGAGCAACGCCGCGUGAGUGAUGAAGGCUUUCGGGUCGUANNGNCUUCUGUUGUUANGG